GCAGGGUUCGGUGGCCCAUGCCUGUAAUUCCAGUGGCUUGGAAGGCUGAGGCAGGAGGAUUAUGAGUUCAAAGCCAGCCUCAGCAAAAGUGAGGCACUAAGGAACUUAGUGAGACCCUGUCUCUA
RNAcentral lists this small RNA (125 nucleotides) under Marmota monax (woodchuck). Lineage: Eukaryota; Metazoa; Chordata; Mammalia; Rodentia; Sciuridae. The record is from RNAcentral.